Molecule: long non-coding RNA, 278 nt
Filed under: Carica papaya (papaya)
Lineage: Eukaryota; Viridiplantae; Streptophyta; Magnoliopsida; Brassicales; Caricaceae
Description: long non-coding RNA (CPAP_LNC009272)
Source: RNAcentral
AGAAAAAAGAGGAGGAAUUUAAGGACCUCUGCUAGGAAACCUUGAUGGUUGCAUUGUAUGCAACCCGAUUUGUCCAAUUAUCUAGGUUUGCCCAAUUGAUGGUCACCCCUGAGAGUCGCAAGGCUAAGAAGUUUCUAAAGGGUCUUCGUGUUGAUAUCUAUGAUCGGAUUGUGAUGCUGAGACCCAACUUGUAUGUUGAGGUGCUAGAACAUGCCCAGUUGACCGAAUACCUUAUCUCGAUCAAGCACCAACGCAUCAUUUGAGUCUACACCCAACAA